This is a long non-coding RNA of Cydia splendana, 202 nucleotides long. RefSeq lists it as uncharacterized. The transcript has 2 exons. The record is from RefSeq and is a predicted model, not a curated record. Lineage: Eukaryota; Metazoa; Arthropoda; Insecta; Lepidoptera; Tortricidae.
GUUUUCAGUUAUAAUAUCGUAAAAAAAUGAGUGAUUCCAGUGAUGAAGAUGAUCUGACGCCUGUGGAACUUGCACUUUCCUCGCUAUAGUGAGGUGAAAAGUUUUGUGUCACAAACGUGUGCAAAUGUAUUUUACUUCUCGUGUGUUGAAACACUCGCUCCUAAAAUACAAUUUUGCACCCUUGUAUAACAAAUAACUAUUA